CCUACGGGUGGCUGCCGUGAGGAAUAUUGGUCAAUGGCCGUAAGGCUGAACCAGCCAAGCCGCGUGAAGGACGAAGGUUCCAAGCAUUGUAAACUUCUUUUGUCAAGGGACAAAAUCAGGCUCGAGAGCCUGACCGAGGGUACUUGAUGAAAAAGCAUCGGCUAACUCCGUGCCAGCAGCCGCGGUAAUACGGAGGAUGCGAGCGUUAUCCGGAUUUAUUGGGUUUAAAGGGUGCGUAGGCGGGCUGUUAAGUCAGCGGUAAAAGCCCGGGGCUAAACCUCGGAGAGCAGUUGAAACUGGCUGUCUUGAGAUGUCGAGAGGUAGGCGGAAUGCGCAGUGUAGCGGUGAAAUGCUUAGAUAUCGCGCAGAACUCCGAUUGCGAAGGCAGCAUACCGGCGGCGAUCUGACGCUGAGGCACGAAAGCGUGGGUAUCGAACAGGAUUAGAUACCCUUGUAGUC
This 459-nucleotide ribosomal RNA is filed under the name uncultured bacterium. RNAcentral describes it as "partial 16S ribosomal RNA". It matches the Rfam family "Bacterial small subunit ribosomal RNA", at positions 338 to 795 of the family's 1533-position model. The record is from RNAcentral.